AUCCAGCUGCAGGACGAGUCCCAAAUAGGACGAAAUGCGUAUCCUGACUGGAU
RNAcentral lists this non-coding RNA (53 nucleotides) under Trichobilharzia regenti. The record is from RNAcentral. Lineage: Eukaryota; Metazoa; Platyhelminthes; Trematoda; Strigeidida; Schistosomatidae.